UCCCGCUGAGACCCCGCGCUCCCUCCUGCUUGUGAGCUUGCAGGGAUGGGGUCCUUCCGUUUAGCUAAGUCCUUCCUGCCCUUCUGUCCCAGAGAGGCUACUUUUCACAUGGAAAAUGCCAUAGCAUUUUGUAAGACUAACAGAAACAUUUCACCACGGCAGCAAAUUUGCAAAGCCGUCUGCAUAAAACCAAUACUCAUUCUAAAGUCUUCCUCUUUUCUCCCCCUGCCUUGUGCCUGAAAUAUCCUGGGGAUAGUUUUUUUGGUUUUAUUUGGAGUGAUUUUAUAGUUGUAAAUUGCUGGUCCAGAAUUUCCAGUAUUCACUUCUGCUGAGUGAAGAACUGCCUUUUUGAUUUAAUUAUAGAUGGCUUCCAUUUUAGAAAGUUAAGGAGAACCUUCACCCCAAAUUCCUGCCCUGCAGGAACUGGCAAGAGGGCCAGCUAGGCACGCAGAGGAUCGGACUCCAGCUCUCCAGGGCCAGGGGCUGUGGACAGACAACCGGACGGGCUCUGGUCAAAGCCUCACCAUGGCCUCAGGCGUGAUAGGGCUCUGCCCAAACCACAAAUCCUGUUAACAUUUCCCUCCUGCAUUUCUCUCUCUUGAAGAGAAGACUCGCAACAGGGUUUCCACCACUCCCCUGAUGCCUGAAGGGCAGCUGGCUGUGCCUCAAAAGCCACAGCCCCGGGAGGCCCCUGACAGGUGGGUGGAGGGUGAGGAAGACAGGCGUCCACACUCAGACACUCAUCAGGAGGUAUUUGUUGGUAUGUGGUCAGAGACACAAUUUGGAUCCGGUUAUUUACGAGGACUAGAUGUGAGUGUUGUCUUGUGACUCUGAGGAGGGAUUUUUUAAUAGGGAGAGAGUCUUGAGUUUGCUAGUUACUGUUGUUGUGGACUGAAAGUGUUCCCCAAAAUCCUUUGAUCUCUGGUUAGCCUGGCACUUGAAAUCACUGGACAGACCUUCCUGUGGGAGGACUUUCUUCCUCUGUAUCUGAGCCUCAGAAGGAGGUGGACUUCCAGGUGGACAUCCUCUGCACCUGCCGGCACCCAGCCCCGCAGCGGAGAGCCCCUGAGGGAGGUGGAAGAGAGUGCAUCACGGUUUGGCAGCAGGAGGACUCAGGAAGACUCUGAUGCGUCAGGAACUGAGAAGAGUGGUGAUUAUCUGCAUGAGCUAGGCUUCUCGGAGCUCCAGUCCCAGGAGUUCAUCAUAUUUACUGUGUGAAAUCUGUCAGACUCUGGCCUGAGAAUGCUCACUGUCAGGCAUCUGCCCUCCAUCAGGAGAGCUGGGGUCACUUCCCUGGAGAAAAUAAAACCACAGAAGGAGGUAUCUAUAUGCUGGAAAUAGGAAGGCAAACAUUGAAGUCUUUGAUAUAAAAUAGACUGAAAUAAACCAACUAAAAACGAUCCUAUGGAAAGCAAAGAUAAACCUCAGAAUAGAUAUAUUCCUCAAAGGUUUUGAGAGUAUACUGAUAAAUAAGAACACCAUGCCACAGACAGAAAAUAAUCAGGGAAUUAAGAAAGGCUCCUGGAAAUCAGAAACAUGACUUACAAAAUGAAAAAAUUCAGUAGAAGUGUCGGGAGAUAAAGUAAGGAAACAGCCCAGAAAGUACAACAAAAUGACAAAACACUUAAAAGAACAAUAUCUAAUUAGUAGGGAUUAUGGAAAAAUAAUGGAGAAAAUGAAGGAGAAAAAUAUCAAAGAAAUGUAAGAAAAAUGUCCCAGAGUUAAAGGACACAAGUCUCCAGAUUAACUGGGCUCUCUGUGUGAAUGAAAAAAGCUCCAAGACCAAAAACCAAAGCAAAAACAAAACAAAACCAAACAAAACCUCAAACCUACGCAGAGAUUUAACAUCAUUAAGUUUCCGAGCUCCAAGAGUCAAGAGAAGACCCUAACAAGUCCCAGGAAGUGGAAGGCAGACGGAAGUAUCCAAGGAGGCGAGAAUUGGGUUGGUAGCAGACUUCUCAGCCUCUUAGCAGCACAGAAGUCGCGGGGACCAGGCUUUGCUAGUUCUAGAAGGAAUGGUUUCAACCUGGAACAAAGAAAGCCACUUGAGGAUAUAAGCAAAGAAAACAAGGUAGAAAAUCCAGGGGAAAGAAGACAUGAAAUAUCCGGCCUGGAGACAGGCCUGAUGGCACACCUGGGUCCGAGGGGCAGGCAGGGGCGCCCUGGGGAGGAGAUCGGGGGAGGAGAAAAAGCUCCCCGGAUUUAUCGGACUGCUCAACAUAGUGGAGCUUGCAGAGAGAACUAUGAAUACAGAAGCGUGGACAGAGUGAGAGAAAGAAAGGCAAAAUGUCGAAGCCCCCAGCCGCGGACGCUAACCCUGAUGCUACUCAGCUCUGUGACAACUCUGGUCAUGUUCAUUAAAGUCACGAUUUAACGUCAGUAGGAGGUGUACCAAAGCCCAAUCUUCUCACCCAAACAGAAAGCCAGUAUCCACUAUCGGUCAGUCAAGAAGUCCCAUUCGAAGACCAUCAUCCAGAAACAUGGUAGCUCCCAGGAUCCCGGGUGAGGCUUGUCAGUGUCCGCUCCAGGGACCAGAAGAGAAGGGUCUUUCGUUGUGCGUGGUUCACAGCACUAUUUGAUAUUUUUGAUCAUGUGUGUUUCGUAUUGGUCGCCAUAACUUGGAUGUUAUGAUCCGUUGUUACUUUGUCUUCGGUUCGGCAAGCCUAGCAGCAGUGUCCGCUCACAGUCCUUGGCACCUAACUGAAGCCCGCGGUUCCCAGGCUCUGUGGCUGGCCUUUUCCCAAACUUGUGGCCCCACAGUGGGGAAAUCUCAGCUGGCUCUGUGAGCCUGUGGCCUGGGUGCCGUGAACAGGCACCCCUGAGCCCCUGCGUGUCCCGGGAGGACUGUCAUAGGGCUCCCACCGCAAAGCAGAGCCCUUCGACCCCAGCACCUGCUUUUCCUGUGAAGCUGCACUUGACCCCCACACCGACUCAGGCCGCAGCACUCUUGCUGUCUGCUACAUCCAUUGUCUUGCUCACAGGGAGAUGGCCAAGCAAGCCGCCUCGUUCAGCUCCUAGCUGUGUCACUUGCUGACUGGACACUCUUGGGCGAGUUGCCUGCCCUCUCUGAGCUUUGGUUUCUUUGCUGUAAAAUGGGGUAGUAACAGCACCUACAGCACAGGCCACGGGAUGGUACUUCCUCAUCCAAGAAUAUGAGAACAUGUCUCUGUUCUGAAUCUCCCCAGUCCUGGAAUAUUCCACCAGACACCCAGGUUAUGGCUUUUGGAGGUAAGCCUUGUUUCUGGGUGAAGUUCAAGCUCUCCUCCAGUGGUGAGCGGCCUAUGGCCUAGCCUGCAGAAGGCAGGGGCAUUUUAGAAGGCAGUGUUCUCAUACUGAGUGCAUGAGAAACACUUGGGUAGAUUCCUAACGAUGCAGACUCCCAUCUGUGUCCCUCCAUUGUGAUAUAGUCAGUCUAGGCUAGGUCGCAGGAACCCACAGUGUUCUCAGAUCCUGCAGGUGAGUCUUAUCUUUGACAGACACUAACGUAUCUGGGGGUGACUGGCCAACCCCAACAGAGCUCGUCUCUUAUGGAGUUUGCAGACAGCAGGGUCCCAGAAGCUGAGACGUAGAGCUAGAUACAGAUGAAGCCAACAGUGGGGAUGAGGUGGGACAGCCUGUCAGGCUGCAGAGCGGACGCAUGAAGAGCAGGAAGGGAAGCAGAGCUGAUGAGGUCACAGUGUGGGAGUUCUAGAGCUACCUGUUGGUCGCCGCAGCUUCUGUGGGGCUCCUGAGACCUCCUCAAUGGCGGAUGGCCCAUGAGCCAUGUUUGAGCUGUCACACCUGGCCGGUGGCUGUCGAGGUUGCUUCUGCCCUUAAUCUCCUUGUCCUUUCAAUAAACCUCUUAAUUAGACCCUGAGCAGUUGUUUAUUCCUUGCCACUAAGGUAGCUCCUAACUCAGAAGUGGACUGAAUCUUCUCCAUCAGAUCCAUUGUAUUGGUUAUGAAUGCUUUGGCUCCAAGUAACAGAAUAUAACAACUAGAAUCCUUCCAGUUUACUCACCCAGGGAGGUGUAUUUAUUCACAUGGAAAGAAGUCCAGGAGAAGGUGACUGCAGGCCCUGGCUCUGUGAUUCGAUGAUACAGGGGCCGAAUCCCCUUAAGGUUUUCAUGACUUCCCCCAUAGGAUCACAAGUGACUGCCCCAGUGCCCACGUCUUUGGCAGGAAGAGGGGGUCAGCCUGGUUCAGCAUCUCCCAUUAGCAGAUGUGAAGUCAAGGAAGUUAUUCUCAGUGGUGUGGGUAGGCCCCCUCUAAUCAGUAGAAAGACCUUAAAGCAAACACUGAGGCUUCCUUAAGGAUCUUCCUCAGGAUGAUAGCACGGAUAUCUUGCUUUAGUAUCCGGUCUGCUGGCCCAGCCUGUGGAUUUUGGACUUGUUGGUCCCCAUAAUUGCAUAAGCUGAUUCCUUGAAAGACUCCCUCUGCCAACAUAGAUGGUAAACACAGCAGGUAAGUAAAUGGAUAGGGUUCUAUCUACUGGUUGAUUUGUGUUCUGCAGCUAUGAUCAGAGGAUUCACACAUUUCUGACUGUUUUGCCAUGAUUUAAAUGGCCCAAAGCCAGACCUCCCAUGGUGAUCCUUCUGGAAAUCCCAAGACUCAGCUUCAGGCUAAGCCGCCUCCAAGCCUCCAGCCCCACCCUCAUUUGCUCAAGUGGCCAUGGGUCAAGCAAAAUGACACACACCAAGUGCUGUAGAAACAGCUACUGUUCCUCGGAAGCAAGACAGGCCCCCCUUUCUGAUAAAGUGCCCUCUUUGAACCCAGAGAAGUCAGAUCUGUGGGAGAAAGAGCUGAGCUUUUGACGUCAAUGUUAUGAAAUGAGCUGUUCCAGAAAGUGUUCUGUAAAGCCUGUGUUGAGUGAUCUCAUAACAAUUGACGCAGGCCAAAACCCACUUUAGCAAAUUAUCUUAUAAUUACUUAAUUCUGUGUGAUCAAAAAAUGAUUUAUAAUCCUUAGAAGAGGGCACACUAAUCCCAAAACCAACACCACAAAAUCCUAGGAAAAGUACUCAAAUAAUACUUGAACAGAAUAGAAAUCAUCUACUUCUAGGGCCAAGCUUUCCUGAGAUAAGAAGCAGAUGGUUUUGAAUGGAGAGGCGAUAGAUUGGGGUGGGUUGGGCAGACCCCGUCCCCCAGAUCGGGAGCAACAGAGUAACUUAACCCCUUUCCUUUGGACUUUGUAUGGUUCCCAGAAGGUCCGCUCACAUCGGCAUUGAGACGUCCUCUUGGGGAAAGUCUGCUUCUCCCAGGGGAGAGGUGAACAGGGAGGGAGAAGCUCGCAGGUGAUUCUAAUGGACCAGUGUGCAAGGCACCCUUCCAACUGAGGUGCCCAACCCUGGAUGCACACUGAAAUCCCUGGGGAACUUCUACGAAUUCUGAACCUCAGCCCAACUGUCCGGACCAGUGGAGCAUGCUAACUGCCACAGGCCACUGCCUCUUGUCUCUCUGUUGGCCCUACUCAGUAGGUGGGAGGGGAACUGUGCUCUGCUGUGAGUCCUCAGGCUGGUGGACAAGCCUCUCUGUGUCUCGAUCUCCGUGGGGAGUAAGGGGUUAACUCAAUGGUCCCUUAGGACCCUCCGUGGUAGAAUCAAUGUAAAUUCCUUUCUACUCCUGGAAGUUGGUUUUCUUGCUAUUACAUCCCUGAUGAUGUUGUUGUGGAUGUAUCAAAAUUUAUAGUGAUAAGUUGAUAAAUGGUUUUUGGCCUGAGAACAUAAUAAUUAAAAAUGAAAAGUAAAUUAGGGAAAGAUUUACUUUUAGAUAAUGGAAUCUGAGCAGUGUUUCUCAACCUGUCCUCUGAAAUUUUCAUUAAAAUUCUGCUUAGAAAGUCAUGUCUCUAUCAGUAGGUGGAGUUUAACCCUGAUUGGGCUAACCAGUCUGGAGUCUUGGCCGUCAUGCCAUUUCGUCCUUGUGUAGGAUCAUAUGGCUCUCUUGUUCUGGAAACUGUCUUGGGUUUUAUUUGCCACAGAAAUCUUCCUAACUCUCCUGCCAAAUACAGUGUCUGCCAGCCUGUCAAAUUUUGAAGGCUCAGUAAAAUGAGCCAGGGCAGAGCCUGUCAGGCAUUGCUGGGGCUCAGUGUUUGAAGGGGCCGGAAGUUACCAUUUAUUCACAGACUCCACUGGAGCAUGGAUUCUUACCCUUGUUUCCACGAAUGGGCUUCAGAGGCUCCAUGGUCUCUUAAGCUGUGCCCUCAGGGCCCCACCUACGUGUCCAUUUUUCUGGGGAUAUGCCAUGUAUAAGUUAUGCCUUCCUUGUCUUCAUCAGGGAUUUCUGUUUCUUACAAUGGCAGGUACUGCUGGAAAUGUCCUUGCCCAUGACCUCAGAAAGGGGACCUGGAUCAGAAGAAUGCUGACCCUUUCUGAGUUGGGGCAAGGUAUCGCUGCUGGGGGACCUCCAUCUGCCUGCUGGACACAUUCUCAUGCCCCUGAUUUGUAGAGCGAGUGUGGACUGCACCUGCUACAGUCUGCUCUGAUUUGCCUCUUACCAGCCAUCUCCCCUGACUGGAAUGCAGGUGCUUUAUUCUGUCCACGUCUGAGCUCCCAGUGCCCUAGGAACCUGCCUGGUAAGUAGAAGGCACUUUACACAUGUUGGCUGAAAGCAAAGAAGUAUGAAUUUCUGAACAUGAUUGCCUCCAAGAGUAGCCACCUUAAUAUCUUGUGUAUUUCUUUUUAGUAUUUUUAAUGUGUUUUUAUAUGAAUGAAGGAUUCUAUAUACAAUUUAAGUGCUUUUUUUUUUCUCCACUUAACUUCCUAAGCAUUAUUUUUUAUCAUUAAAAGUUUGCAAACAUCCUUGGUCACAUGAUACCCCAGGAAAUGGGCACCCUGGGAUCUAGCCAUUCCUCCCAGUUCCAGCCUGUUCUCCCAGUUCUUGCCAUGUGUGCAUCUUUGUACAUAAAUAUUUGUUUAAAACCAGGUUUAUUUGCUUAGGAUAAGAAGUGAAACUAUUUGGUUGAAGUUCACAAACAUUUUUGAAGUUAUUGCUGUAUUUACUGAAAUGCUUUCUUGAAAUUUUGGACCAGUUUGGUCCUAUCAGUAACAUUCUAGGUGGGAUAUUAUUUAUUUGUCUUUACAAAUUUUUGUAUUGGGAAAUAAAAAUGCAUCACUUUAUUUUCUUGUGACAUUGAACAAUUUUCACAUAUUUAUUAGGUAUUUUCAUUUAUACUUUGUGGCUUGGCUUUUUAAGUAAUCUGCCCACUUAUUCAUGGAGUCUUGGCAGCUUCCUUAUUGACUGAACCUUAGGAAUAUUUACUCCUUUUCAUAGUUCUUGCAAAUAUUUUUCUAUAUUAUUAUUUGUCUUUUAAUUUAGUGUAUUGGUUUUUUUGAUAUGCACAACUUUAAAAUGUGGUGUAAGUAAGAACUUUUGUGUGGUAAAGUGCAGCAAUUUUCUUUGAGAUUAGGAAGAACUUUCUCAACCAAUGAUAGAGAAAUUCACCUACAUAUUCUUUUAGUAUUUUUUGGUUUUGAUUUUUAGCAUAUUAACUCCUUCAUCCAUCUGGGAUUCAUAUUUAUCUACAAUGUGAAACACUAGCACAUGUUUAUUUUUUCUUUUUUGGUUUUAAAAGUGAACUUUGAUUUUGUUUUCCUGAAAAGGAACCUCAAGAAGACCCUGGUGAUGCAAAGCAUCGUCAGCACCUGGCCGGUGAGGAGCCACGUGAAGGCCCAUGGCCUCGGCAGCACCCUUUCCCUUCACACAUGUGUGGCUCUGACUUGCACUCCCUGGGGGGCUGGUGGGGCCUGGAGUUGCAAUUUAUGGUAACAUGCAGGAGCAGAGCUGAGUGCCCAGGUGAGGAGGACGUGUACAGGGACCCGGAAGCAUAUUCCGCCCAGCACAAGGGCACCUGAGGCUCUGUGGUCCAGGAGGCGUUUCUGACUCCAGAACAGCAAGCACCCGUUCUCAGCAAUGGGGUAGCUGGAUUGCUGGAGGGAAACCUUAUGGUCAGACAGCGUGGCUGGGAAAUAUGUGCUUUAUUUGACAUUGGCGCCGACCCAGAUCCGUCUGCCAUUUGAGAACAGAAUGAUCUUAACGGAAAGAUCCCAUCAAAACAAACCUAGAAACUUUUUCUCUGAGGACAAACUCUGAAAUUUCUGGAUUAUUUUUCAUUCCAUACUGGUUGCUAUACCAACAAGUAUCUUGUGCUAAGGCAGAUAGAAGGAGCCAAAGAGACCUGUUUGAAAAAAUGAGUUACUUUAUUUUAGAUUAUGUUUUCUUCCUUCAUAGAAUUAAAUAUUUUCAAAUGUGUUUCCAAGAAAAUAAGCCCAAGGCUUAUGUAGUCUUGGCCUAAUCAAGCGUGAGCUGCCCACCAAUAGCCAGACUGGUUAAAGACCUCUGGUGCCUUUCCCUGAUGUAACCAUCCUUAUGGGACAUUUUAAUGAAAAUCUUGAAUCCCUCAGAGCCCCAUUAUUCCUCUUUAUGGGCAUAUGUGAACAUUAAUAAAUCUGCGGUCACCAUUCCUGAGCAACGCAUGCCAGAGGUCACCAUGACCUUUCUCUGCAGCUUGUUUGCUUGGUUGCCUUGAGGAAGGAUGGGUAAUUGCAAAGAUCCCCCUGGUGCUUUGUGCAGGGGCCCUGAUGGCCUCUCCUGCAGUCUGAUCUCCCUAAGAGGACGUCUGUCCUUUCAUCAGGCAAAGCUGCCCAGCCCGUAAGGUUACAGGUGCUGAGGGCACGUCCCACAGCCCCGGGGGCACCUGGGCGACUUGCCUUCCUGCACAGGUGCCUUCUCCGUUCACCACCAUGUGCAGAACAAGCAGGAUCUAUGUGUACCAUGACUUGAAACAUUUGUGAAGAACUGGUUCAAAAUUUACUGAGAUCUAUAUUCCCUGGAAAGAUCUAAUGGGGAUAGUGUUUAGGAAGCCUAUCACUAAGUAAAGGUUUUCUACCUCUGAGCAGAGGAAAGUGUCCAUGCACAUUGCACUUCUUUGGGAAUAAAGAGCUGUCUGGGCAGUAAAUGCCUCUCAGAUUACACAGGGUGGUUACUUGUUCCUGCUUCUUACUUACAGGUGACUCUUUCCCAUAAUUCUGAUCUUGUUCAAGAUCCCUCAGCCUGUAUGUGGCUGACUCAGUGUACUUUUCGAAAGAUGGAUUGGCACGUGGCACCCAUGUUCCUCGAGGUACCCUUGCCCAGCAUGGGCCUCCCAUGUCAAAACCUUCAUUCAGUAGUCUAAAUCACAACUUACUUAACCAUCCUUAAAUGAUCUAAUAUUUUAUUUUCAAUUCUCUGACAUUGAUAUUAUAAAUAACAUUGUAAUGACCAUUUUUGCACAUGAAUUAUUGUGCACAACUCGGUAUAUUUAAUUAGGGAAAACCCCUAUAGAUAAACUUACUAACUGGAAUGAACAUUUUAAAGUCAUAUCAGGUUUAAUGUUUAUAAUAAAAAGGAAAUAAAUACAGGAUAAUAAUAUGCUGUAUGGUAUAAUAGUUAUAUUGCCUUAUGGUAAUACUAUGAUAUAUAAUAAAACCACCAAAUAUAAAGUUUAUAAUAUCGUA
Molecule: long non-coding RNA, 9468 nt
Organism: Callorhinus ursinus (northern fur seal)
Lineage: Eukaryota; Metazoa; Chordata; Mammalia; Carnivora; Otariidae
Source: RefSeq, a predicted model, not a curated record